RNAcentral lists this ribosomal RNA (2147 nucleotides) under Pseudomonas aeruginosa. RNAcentral's name for it is "bacterial LSU rRNA". It matches the Rfam family "Bacterial large subunit ribosomal RNA", at positions 14 to 2199 of the family's 2925-position model. The record is from RNAcentral. Lineage: Bacteria; Pseudomonadati; Pseudomonadota; Gammaproteobacteria; Pseudomonadales; Pseudomonadaceae.
AGCGCAUACGGUGGAUGCCUUGGCAGUCAGAGGCGAUGAAAGACGUGGUAGCCUGCGAAAAGCUUCGGGGAGUCGGCAAACAGACUUUGAUCCGGAGAUCUCUGAAUGGGGGAACCCACCUAGGAUAACCUAGGUAUCUUGUACUGAAUCCAUAGGUGCAAGAGGCGAACCAGGGGAACUGAAACAUCUAAGUACCCUGAGGAAAAGAAAUCAACCGAGAUUCCCUUAGUAGUGGCGAGCGAACGGGGAUUAGCCCUUAAGCUUCAUUGAUUUUAGCGGAACGCUCUGGAAAGUGCGGCCAUAGUGGGUGAUAGCCCCGUACGCGAAAGGAUCUUUGAAGUGAAAUCGAGUAGGACGGAGCACGAGAAACUUUGUCUGAACAUGGGGGGACCAUCCUCCAAGGCUAAAUACUACUGACUGACCGAUAGUGAACCAGUACCGUGAGGGAAAGGCGAAAAGAACCCCGGAGAGGGGAGUGAAAUAGAACCUGAAACCGUAUGCGUACAAGCAGUGGGAGCCUACUUGUUAGGUGACUGCGUACCUUUUGUAUAAUGGGUCAGCGACUUAUAUUCAGUGGCAAGCUUAACCGUAUAGGGUAGGCGUAGCGAAAGCGAGUCUUAAUAGGGCGUUUAGUCGCUGGGUAUAGACCCGAAACCGGGCGAUCUAUCCAUGAGCAGGUUGAAGGUUAGGUAACACUGACUGGAGGACCGAACCCACUCCCGUUGAAAAGGUAGGGGAUGACUUGUGGAUCGGAGUGAAAGGCUAAUCAAGCUCGGAGAUAGCUGGUUCUCCUCGAAAGCUAUUUAGGUAGCGCCUCAUGUAUCACUCUGGGGGGUAGAGCACUGUUUCGGCUAGGGGGUCAUCCCGACUUACCAAACCGAUGCAAACUCCGAAUACCCAGAAGUGCCGAGCAUGGGAGACACACGGCGGGUGCUAACGUCCGUCGUGAAAAGGGAAACAACCCAGACCGCCAGCUAAGGUCCCAAAGUUGUGGUUAAGUGGUAAACGAUGUGGGAAGGCUUAGACAGCUAGGAGGUUGGCUUAGAAGCAGCCAUCCUUUAAAGAAAGCGUAAUAGCUCACUAGUCGAGUCGGCCUGCGCGGAAGAUGUAACGGGGCUCAAACCACACACCGAAGCUGCGGGUGUCACGUAAGUGACGCGGUAGAGGAGCGUUCUGUAAGCCUGUGAAGGUGAGUUGAGAAGCUUGCUGGAGGUAUCAGAAGUGCGAAUGCUGACAUGAGUAACGACAAUGGGUGUGAAAAACACCCACGCCGAAAGACCAAGGGUUCCUGCGCAACGUUAAUCGACGCAGGGUUAGUCGGUUCCUAAGGCGAGGCUGAAAAGCGUAGUCGAUGGGAAACAGGUUAAUAUUCCUGUACUUCUGGUUACUGCGAUGGAGGGACGGAGAAGGCUAGGCCAGCUUGGCGUUGGUUGUCCAAGUUUAAGGUGGUAGGCUGAAAUCUUAGGUAAAUCCGGGGUUUCAAGGCCGAGAGCUGAUGACGAGUCGUCUUUUAGAUGACGAAGUGGUUGAUGCCAUGCUUCCAAGAAAAGCUUCUAAGCUUCAGGUAACCAGGAACCGUACCCCAAACCGACACAGGUGGUCGGGUAGAGAAUACCAAGGCGCUUGAGAGAACUCGGGUGAAGGAACUAGGCAAAAUGGCACCGUAACUUCGGGAGAAGGUGCGCCGGCUAGGGUGAAGGAUUUACUCCGUAAGCUCUGGCUGGUCGAAGAUACCAGGCCGCUGCGACUGUUUAUUAAAAACACAGCACUCUGCAAACACGAAAGUGGACGUAUAGGGUGUGACGCCUGCCCGGUGCCGGAAGGUUAAUUGAUGGGGUUAGCGCAAGCGAAGCUCUUGAUCGAAGCCCCGGUAAACGGCGGCCGUAACUAUAACGGUCCUAAGGUAGCGAAAUUCCUUGUCGGGUAAGUUCCGACCUGCACGAAUGGCGUAACGAUGGCGGCGCUGUCUCCACCCGAGACUCAGUGAAAUUGAAAUCGCUGUGAAGAUGCAGUGUAUCCGCGGCUAGACGGAAAGACCCCGUGAACCUUUACUGUAGCUUUGCACUGGACUUUGAGCCUGCUUGUGUAGGAUAGGUGGGAGGCUUUGAAGCGUGGACGCCAGUUCGCGUGGAGCCAUCCUUGAAAUA